This 549-nucleotide ribosomal RNA is filed under the name fungal endophyte. RNAcentral's name for it is "eukaryotic LSU rRNA". The stretch from base 171 to 324 matches the Rfam family "5.8S ribosomal RNA". The record is from RNAcentral. Lineage: Eukaryota; Fungi.
GAGUUUACGCUCUAUAACCCUUUGUGAACAUACCUAUAACUGUUGCUUCGGCGGGUAGGGUCUCCGUGACCCUCCCGGCCUCCCGCCCCCGGGCGGGUCGGCGCCCGCCGGAGGAUAACCAAACUCUGAUUUAACGACGUUUCUUCUGAGUGGUACAAGCAAAUAAUCAAAACUUUUAACAACGGAUCUCUUGGUUCUGGCAUCGAUGAAGAACGCAGCGAAAUGCGAUAAGUAAUGUGAAUUGCAGAAUUCAGUGAAUCAUCGAAUCUUUGAACGCACAUUGCGCCCGCCAGCAUUCUGGCGGGCAUGCCUGUUCGAGCGUCAUUUCAACCCUCAAGCUCUGCUUGGUGUUGGGGCCCUACAGCUGAUGUAGGCCCUCAAAGGUAGUGGCGGACCCUCCCGGAGCCUCCUUUGCGUAGUAACUUUACGUCUCGCACUGGGAUCCGGAGGGACUCUUGCCGUAAAACCCCCAAUUUUCCAAAGGUUGACCUCGGAUCAGGUAGGAAUACCCGCUGAACUUAAGCAUAUCAAUAAGCGGAGGAAAAGAAA